Molecule: long non-coding RNA, 1839 nt
Organism: Ornithodoros turicata
Lineage: Eukaryota; Metazoa; Arthropoda; Arachnida; Ixodida; Argasidae
Exons: 7
Source: RefSeq, a predicted model, not a curated record
GUCCUAUAGAGAUCAGAGAUGUGUUAGUUUUACUCAUAACCUUCAAAAAGUAAUUAGUCGCGUCACUUCUUUAUAAUGCAUAACGCUAAAUCGUUACUUUUGUACAGUAUGCAGUUACUGGGUAUUAGUCAUUACAUUGUCUUCAAGUUGUUAACAGAGUUACAUUAGCCGUCAAGAAUAUAAUGGCAUUAUACAUUACACGCUGUAUGCACACUUGGGUCUCGAAAACAUAAUGAAUUACGCGCUGCCUCAUUUUUGCAACGCAUUACCGGUAAUGCGCUACUUCAAACAUGAUAUUACAUGGUUAAUCAAUUAUGCGCUAGUUGCAAUCAAUCCAAGUAAGUCGCCCUGAUAUGGAAGCUAUGUGGAUUUCUGAAUCUUUGACGUCGAGACGUCAGCGUUGAUAAACGAAUCCCAGAUGAAUCUGGGAUUCGUCAGUUUAUCAACGCCAGCUCAUUUCUUCGCUCCGAUUUUAUGUCGGCACAGUUCACAUAGAAUGCGGCCCAGGAUGCAUAUUCCCCACGGCGUCGGUCGUGACGUUGCCCACUUCUGUGAAGUCGACAACAGCGAGCUCUUUCACCAUCAUCACCACCGUCGCUCAAUUAAAAAACAAAAAAAACAAAACGAAAACACUUGCUGGAUUAUCGAAACUCAAGGCAUUCGUGAUAUUUCGUUAUUCAACGGAAUUUGUCGGCUUAAUAACAUAAAAACCAGCAGUGUGGAAAAUUCAAGUCAUUAAAGUCACCAAACCGUCGCUUGUUUCGGUUUCAAACCGCUGCGUCUAGCAACCAUGAAGAAAGAGCACAAAGCAGCGUUCAGCGGGCUGCUGGCUUCCUCGUGGUUUCUUGUGUUCAACUCAUGUCUAUGUUAUCGUUGAGUUUAAUCGGCAAGAUAUACUGCAUUUCGUGCGUGACGUUUGUUGUUGUGUUCGCUAUUCGUCUGACGACGCAAAAGCUGUUGUGCCAGUGCCGUGACUACAUGCCGUACAACUUGCCGAACCAGCCCGGACUAGGACCAUGCCGAAAUUGGUGUCUCAUGUCAAGCACACACAAGAAAAGGCGAUGCAGCAUUUGCAGCACAUCACGUCACGGUAUAUGUGAAAGCAUACUUCGGCAAAUAAGGAAUGCAUCAGAAGGACACCACGGGACGCUUCAGAGUCUGGAUGUACCAUAUCUGAUGAAAAUCUUGCACCACAGAGGCUGCUCGAUGGAUGGAUGGAUUACAACCCUGAUGAAGCAGCGAAGUUCAAGGGAACAACAGGUGCACGACACUAUCAUUGCUGGACAAAAUUGAUGUUGAACAGAAAGAUGCCGCACAGGGAACGAGCAUGUCACUCAAACUGUUUGACCGGAAAACCUGGAGCAAGAGGAAACUUCCGCACAAGACUACAAAAAAAGUAGACUUAGAAGUCCAUGUAUACGGGAGAGCACCUUUGGUGGAAGAGGCUUGACGGCCGACACUGUUAUUUGAUUCACUUUGGGGUUGACAGUUUUGUUCCUGAGAACUUCAUGUGCGUACAGCGGGGCACAAUCAACAGCAGGUUAGUCAACAAUUUGAUGCAGCCUUUCUGGACACAAGAUGGAACGGCGACUAGUUGCUUUUCAGGGCAACCGUAGCAGAGAGCAGGCAUUCACGCGCUCGUCACAGGCAACACCAGAGAAGCUGGACUCCAUUACAUAAAUGGCAUGCCACAUUGAGGGCCACCAGACUGACCUUGUAAAAGAAGCAAAGCUAGAACUAGUCAGGUGAAUCUUUGGAGAUUUGGUUUUGGAGAUGUUGCCCAGCAAGGCAAAAACAGAAAAGUGACACAAUAAAGAAAAUAAAUCUGGGAAUAGUGAA